This 364-nucleotide RNase P RNA is filed under the name human gut metagenome. RNAcentral's name for it is "Bacterial RNase P class A". It matches the Rfam family "Bacterial RNase P class A". From Rfam's summary of the family: Ribonuclease P (RNase P) is a ubiquitous endoribonuclease, found in archaea, bacteria and eukarya as well as chloroplasts and mitochondria. Its best characterised activity is the generation of mature 5'-ends of tRNAs by cleaving the 5'-leader elements of precursor-tRNAs. RNAcentral also lists the same sequence under 1 other name. The record is from RNAcentral.
CUUGUCGCUGCUGCGCCGCGAGCGCGGCAGAGGAAAGUCCGGGCAACACAGAGCAACGCACUUCCGAAAGGGGAGCUGUCAGCGAUGGCAGGCCAGGCGUAACAGAAAACAACCGCCCCGUGAUGCCGCGUGCAUCGGGGGCAAGGGUGAAAAGGUGGGGUAAGAGCCUACCGGUCCGUGUGGCGACACCGGGCGUCAAUACGUCACUGCGUGUUGCAAGGCCAAAUAUACCGGCAGUCAAGGGUGGCUCGCCCGUUGCCGGGGGGUAGGCUGCUAAUGCCGGCGGGCGACUGCCGGCUCAGAUAAAUGACAGGCGCCGUCGCCUUUCGGGGCGGCGGUACAUAACCCGGCUUACAGUGCCUCU